Aethalodelphis obliquidens (Pacific white-sided dolphin) is the source of this 2053-nucleotide RNA transcript. It is a transcript of the gene named actin-related protein 3 pseudogene, with no coding region annotated. NCBI's taxonomy places the organism in Eukaryota, Metazoa, Chordata, Mammalia, Artiodactyla, Delphinidae. The transcript has a single exon. The record is from RefSeq and is a predicted model, not a curated record.
GCGGCCUGGCCGUGGACGGUCAGAUAGCCUCUACCUCUCGCCGCCCAUCCCUGGCCCCAACCGGCACGGAGCAGACGGCGGCAGCGGCAGCAGCAGGCGAGGAGGAAGAUGGCGGGACGGUUGCCGGCCUGUGUGGUGGACUGUGGCACGGGGUAUACAAAACUAGGAUAUGCUGGAAAUACGGAACCACAGUUUAUCAUCCCUUCCUGUAUUGCUAUUAAGGAGUCAGCAAAAGUGGGUGAUCAAGCUCAAAGGAGGGUGAUGAAAGGUGUUGAUGACCUAGACUUCUUCAUUGGUGAUGAAGCAAUAGAAAAACCUACAUAUGCAACAAAGUGGCCAAUCCGCCAUGGUAUAGUUGAAGAUUGGGACUUGACGGAAAGGUUUAUGGAGCAAGUGAUCUUUAAAUAUUUAAGGGCGGAACCUGAAGACCAUUAUUUUCUUUUGACUGAACCUCCACUGAAUACUCCAGAAAACAGGGAAUAUACUGCUGAAAUAAUGUUUGAGUCCUUCAAUGUUCCAGGCUUGUACAUUGCUGUACAGGCUGUUCUUGCCUUAGCUGCAUCGUGGACCUCCAGACAAGUAGGAGAACGGACGUUGACCGGUACGGUAAUAGACAGUGGAGAUGGUGUCACUCAUGUCAUCCCUGUGGCUGAAGGGUAUGUGAUUGGCAGCUGUAUUAAGCACAUUCCAAUCGCAGGACGAGAUAUAACAUAUUUUAUUCAGCAAUUGCUGAGAGACAGAGAAGUAGGAAUUCCUCCAGAGCAAUCCUUGGAAACUGCUAAGGCAGUAAAGGAGCGCUAUAGUUAUGUCUGUCCAGAUUUAGUAAAAGAAUUUAACAAGUAUGAUACAGAUGGAUCAAAGUGGAUUAAACAGUAUACUGGAAUCAAUGCUAUCUCAAAGAAGGAAUUUUCCAUUGAUGUUGGAUAUGAGAGAUUCUUGGGACCUGAAAUAUUUUUUCAUCCAGAGUUUGCUAAUCCAGACUUUACUCAGCCUAUCUCAGAAGUUGUAGAUGAAGUAAUUCAGAAUUGUCCUAUUGAUGUCAGACGUCCUCUCUACAAGAAUAUUGUCCUCUCUGGAGGUUCAACCAUGUUCAGGGACUUCGGACGUCGCUUGCAAAGAGAUUUGAAAAGAACUGUAGAUGCCAGGCUGAAAUUAAGUGAGGAAUUGAGUGGUGGUAGACUGAAGCCAAAACCUAUUGAUGUACAAGUCAUUACACACCACAUGCAGCGAUAUGCAGUUUGGUUUGGAGGAUCCAUGCUGGCUUCCACACCUGAGUUCUACCAAGUAUGCCACACCAAAAAGGAUUAUGAAGAAAUUGGACCUAGCAUUUGUCGUCACAAUCCAGUGUUUGGAGUCAUGUCGUAAAAUUGGCUUCAUAGUUAUUGGGGUUAGGGAGGUGGGGAAGAAUAAUCUUUCUGAUUACCUGUUUUGUCUGGAUGGCUGGUUUUGAGGUUGUAAACCUGACUUGAAAUAAUAAGACCAAACAUAAUUAUACAGGAAUAUUUUAAUAAGUAUAUCAACAUGCGAAUGUAGAGGAGAGCCAAAAUGAUUGAGUGUUUUUCUUUAGAUUGAAUAUUUGAAUCUUAACGUGUAACAAAAAGAAGUGGGUUUUAGUUCUUUCUGUGCCCUGCUGUUUUGCAUAUUAUUGAAUUAUCCAAGAUUUGAUGGGAUUUAUCGGUAUGUCGAUAGCUCUAUAAUGCUUGAAUUGUACGCUCUGAAGUGUGCAGUGCAACAGCUUGUGUAUAUUUCAUACUUUUUAUACUUUGAGGAAAAAAAGUCAAAGAAAAACUAGUAUUUGAGGGAAAAAAAUGACCAAGUAAAGGAUAAAUACAAAAAAUAGCCUGUGAGACUUGGCAUACACACACACUCAUGGGAUUCCAGUUAUUAGGAAGUGCUUCCGUACCCUAUGCCCCCCAGUGGUUUUCUUUGCAAGUGCUUUUGGAACUAAGAAGCUAGUAUCUUGGAUUAACUGAUGCCUGCUAGUGCUUUCUGAUUCCUUGCAUCCUGUUUCUCGCUUUAAAGGACAAGUAAAGACAAGACUGUUGGACCAGUA